Molecule: long non-coding RNA, 1379 nt
Organism: Ornithodoros turicata
Lineage: Eukaryota; Metazoa; Arthropoda; Arachnida; Ixodida; Argasidae
Exons: 3
Source: RefSeq, a predicted model, not a curated record
ACAGCAAAAGUGCUUGAAUAGCAGUUAAUCGAAAUGGCGGCCUUCGUUUUCCACCCAGAAAAUCGGCAUAUCUGACUUUUAAAGGUCAGAUAUGCCGAUUUUGAAGUGCUGCAGAACUGAGCGAUACUCGCGCUGUGUGUUCAGUAGCGAACACUGAAUAUGUGUGCGAAAUAUCUUGGCCCAACUGUCUGAAGGGUUUUAGAAAAAAAAAAUAGUUUCCCCGCCCCCACGUCAGACCGUCGGCACACCCUGCGCGCGGGCGCACCGAUGUCACUGCUCUAGGUUUACCUGUCUUUGGUUUGGCAAGGACUGUUGGCUUGGCCACUUGGCUUCCUUGGUUUCGUUCUCUGUGCAUCGUUCAUUGGCAAACAGAUGUUAUUGCUAAGCAGGAAACAAAGCAUGUCUGAACAUUUAUUUGGCACGACGUCGUUUGGAAAGCGCGUUUCCUUGUGCUGACCUUGCCUUUUAUGAGCUGAAGCGAUAUGAUACGUGAUAUGUCACGGCCAAGUUGUCGAGAAUGCGACGGGUGCUACGCCGUUAGAACAAUUCAUCGGAGCAUUGAAGUGUUACCUACUAUAAGUUGCCAAAAUACCAAGCUCCUGGCUGACAGCGACAGCCGUACGGUCUGGUUUCCACUCCAAAGACGCGCGACUCCAGAGGCAAUUUGGAAUCUCGCCACGAAAUCGUCUGAAAUGAGAUGCCCGUCACACAAAUUUUGAACGUGCCACGGAGGAUCAAGGCAAAAAACGAGAGAAAAAUUAAGUCGAGGUUCAGAUAUAAAAAUAUGAAGCUUAAUGAAUCGAUUUUGCAUCUGUCCUACUACGCUUCCUCUGAUAUAGCCACGAUUAACAACACUGCAGUAUUGAUAAUCUAACUUGUUUAUUACCGCAGGUGCACGCUGAAGGCAGGGUCUGGCUUGCAUCUGGUGAAUGAAGAAAUUGCUGACACGUUCGUUGCAGUCUAGCUGCCACCAACAGGGUGGAAAACAAAGGUCGCAAUUCCGAUUAACUGCUAUCUCCAGUGCAAGCACUUUUGCUGUCCAAACACUGGUUCCUGUGGAUGGGGUGGCACACGCUUCACUGUCUAACAUAGAAGAUGUGUCGCCGUUGACAAAAUGCCCUCGGUUGGCCUGCUGGUGGUCCAUGGACACUCGACGAAGGCGUGGUCGUCGCUCGUGACACAUCGUCUUACAAAGUGACUCCGCCAUUUUUUUAUUUUUUUAUGGUUAUUCGUCCCUGAACAACUGCAGUCCGCCGGUUUGAGGAACGGAAGCGCAAGAGAUUGCUGGUGUCCGGUGCCGGUGCUUGCAAAUCCGACGUCCGCAUUCUCGGAAUUCGCGAAGUUAUGUAACUGGUUCGCUUAUCUGUGAAUCAACACAU